This 73-nucleotide transfer RNA is filed under the name candidate division MSBL1 archaeon SCGC-AAA261O19. RNAcentral's name for it is "candidate divison MSBL1 archaeon SCGC-AAA261O19 tRNA". It matches the Rfam family "tRNA". Rfam says of the family: Transfer RNA (tRNA) molecules are approximately 80 nucleotides in length. Lineage: Archaea; Methanobacteriati; Methanobacteriota. The record is from Rfam by way of RNAcentral.
GCGGCCGUGGUCCAGUUCGGCAAGACUCUGGCUUCCCGAGCCAGCUACGCGGGUUCGAAUCCCGCCGGUCGCA